AUCUAGCUGAUGUGUCCCGAACAGGACGAAACGCGCCUCCUGGAU
Schistosoma curassoni is the source of this 45-nucleotide non-coding RNA. The record is from Rfam. NCBI's taxonomy places the organism in Eukaryota, Metazoa, Platyhelminthes, Trematoda, Strigeidida, Schistosomatidae.